This 478-nucleotide ribosomal RNA is filed under the name uncultured bacterium. Its description in RNAcentral is "partial 16S ribosomal RNA". It matches the Rfam family "Bacterial small subunit ribosomal RNA", at positions 28 to 507 of the family's 1533-position model. The record is from RNAcentral.
GAUGAACGCUCGCGGCAGGCCUAACACAUGCAAGUCGAGGGAGAAGCCCUUUCGGGGGCAGAAACCGGCGCACGGGUGCGUAACGCGUAUGCAACCUACCUUUCACAGGGGGAUAGCCCGAAGAAAUUUGGAUUAAUACCCCAUAAUAUUAUUGGAUGGCAUCAUUUGAUAAUUAAAACUGCGGUGGUGAAAGAUGGGCAUGCGUCCUAUUAGCUAGUUGGAGUGGUAACGGCACCCCAAGGCUACGAUAGGUAGGGGUCCUGAGAGGGAGAUCCCCCACACGGGUACUGAGACAGGGACCAUACGACUACGGGAGGCAGCAGUGAGGAAUAUUGGUCAAUGGUCGGAAGACUGAACCAGCCAUGCCGCGUGCAGGAAGAAUGCCUUAUGGGUUGUAAACUGCUUUUAUAUGGGAAGAAUAAGGCGUACGUGUACGUUGAUGACGGUACCAGAUGAAUAAGCAUCGGCUAACUCCGUG